This 30-nucleotide non-coding RNA is filed under the name Mus musculus (house mouse). Lineage: Eukaryota; Metazoa; Chordata; Mammalia; Rodentia; Muridae. The record is from RNAcentral.
UCUGAUGUGAAGAGGAANCCUAGGUAAGUC